Vicugna pacos (alpaca) is the source of this 784-nucleotide long non-coding RNA. RefSeq lists it as uncharacterized. Lineage: Eukaryota; Metazoa; Chordata; Mammalia; Artiodactyla; Camelidae. The record is from RefSeq and is a predicted model, not a curated record.
CUGGCUGGUUGGGGUUCACAACUGCGAUGUAUCGGUGGGCGGAGCUCGGGCGAGAGUGAGCAGUAACUCUCUCGCCCUUCCGUCCAGAGUGGGGCGCAGCACCUCUCCGGAACCUGCACGGCUCCCGCUUUGGUUCCGGUCGGAGCGACCUAGGGGCGCACGCCCGCCGGGCUGCGCUGGUGGUGAGGUGUUCGGCGUGCAGGAGCCUGCGGCCUUCGCAACGGUCCCGAGGGGACGGCGACGACACAAGUAAGGGCCUCAAAUGAUGAUGAUGAUGACAACCAUGAUGAAGAUACAGGUGAUGAAGGCAACAAUAGCUACAACAACAGGGAAGAGACCUAACAAAGUGAGAAGGUGACUGCAAGUCAAGAAGAGAAGUCUCACCAGAAACCAACCCUGGAAGCACCUCAGUCUUGGACUUCUAGCUUCCAGAAAUGUGAGAAAAUUAUGUGAAGCCACUCAGUCUGUGGUAUUUCAUUAUUGUAGCCCACGCAGGCCAAUAUAGAUAGAAGAGUGUGGUCAAAAGAUUAAAUGUGAAAAGAAAAAUUGUGUAUCAUUUAGGAAUUGGACUAAGAACAUUGGAGGAGUCCUUUAUUUAGGGGGGGAAUUACUAGGUCAAGGAUGCAAAUGGAAAGUUGGUAUUGGAAAUGUAUGAAUCUGUUCAAGGAUGAUACAAAAGGAAAUAGUGAGGGCUGUGAUCAAAUCAGACAGUGCAUGUCCUGUUUUAAGGCACUGAAAUUCUAGUUCUCUAAAGCCCCCAUACAGGUUAAACGGAAUACAUCAA